AUUGAACGCUGGCGGCAGGCCUAACACAUGCAAGUCGAGCGAGCGGCGGACGGGUGAGUAAUGUUUGGGGACUGCCCGAUAGAGGGGGAUAACUACUGGAAACGGUGACUAAUACCGCAUACUUCCGGAUAACCCAUAUGGGUUUAGCUAGUUGGUGGGGUAAAGGCUCACCUAGGCUACGAUCUCUAGCUGGUCUGAGAGGAUGAUCAGCCACACUGGGACGGAGACACGGCCCAGACUCCUACGGAGGCAACAGUGGGGAAUAUUGGACAAUGGGCGCAAGCCGGAUGCAGCCAGGCCGCGUGAAUGAAGAAGGCGUUAGGGUUGUAAAGUACUUUCAGCGGGGAGGCGUUACCCGAAGAAGAAGCACCGGCUAACUACGUGCCAGCAGCCGCGGUAAUUC
RNAcentral lists this ribosomal RNA (403 nucleotides) under uncultured bacterium. RNAcentral's name for it is "partial 16S ribosomal RNA". It matches the Rfam family "Bacterial small subunit ribosomal RNA", at positions 30 to 526 of the family's 1533-position model. The record is from RNAcentral.